AAACCAUGAUGGGGACAUAGUUUGAGCAUCCUUUUAAACCUAUCACAUGCUUCAUACAAAGAUUCACUCUCAUUUGAUCAGAAGCUAUCAAUUAAAUUCCUCAUGUGC
This is a small nucleolar RNA of Zingiber officinale, 108 nucleotides long. The record is from RefSeq and is a predicted model, not a curated record. Lineage: Eukaryota; Viridiplantae; Streptophyta; Magnoliopsida; Zingiberales; Zingiberaceae.